Non-coding RNA from Paramisgurnus dabryanus, 1425 nucleotides. NCBI's taxonomy places the organism in Eukaryota, Metazoa, Chordata, Actinopteri, Cypriniformes, Cobitidae. The record is from RefSeq and is a predicted model, not a curated record.
GGUCUGAAGCUAAUACCUGCCACUGUCUGAUUGGUAUUUCAUUAGGAAUCAUGGGUUCCUUGGUAUUUGAAUUAUGUUGAACCAGGCAAGUACUCCAUCUUUCGAUCAUGUGUUCUAUCUGCUUACACAUUUCUAGCCAGAAUAACAUUUCGUGCUCUUAGCUUAGACUUCUCAGCGUGUGCGCAUAUCUCAGGUCAGAUAUGACUAUUUUCUUAUCUUCACUGGUCAAUGAAAGUUUGUCUUAAAAGUCAAUAAUGUAUGUGGGAAAUUGUCUCCUCUUUGCAGGCCAUCCAUCCAAGAUCAUCUAUCUGAGCUGCUGAAAACUGCCUCGGUACGGAUCUGUUGGAGCUUUGUGUCACUGACUGUAUUUCUGCAAAUUCCUGUUCCGUGUCACAUGGCUUAUGCAAGACUGAAUCCAUAAAGAUGCUGUAACCAUAAAGUUACCAGGACAACACACCUGGAGUGACCGAGAGCAGGAUGAAGAAAGAAUCGGACAAGAAAAUAUCAACUGGUGCCCAUGAGGAGACAUAUUGUUCUUGGACCUGCUUUUUCUGUUUAGUAAUAAGUGGUUUUAUGUGGUUACAUAAAAGUAAUUUAAUAUUCAAUCCACAAGCUAAAUUUCCUACAUUUUCUUAAAAGGGUAGUUGACCCAAAAAGGAAAAUUCUGUCAUUUACACAAACAGUUUGGUUACCAACAUUUCUCACAAUAUCUGCCUUCCUGUUUAUCAGAACAAAGAAAUUUAUGCGGGUUUGUAACAACAUGAGAGUGUGUAAAUGAUGACAUAAUUUUCAUUAUUGGGUGAAGUACCCCUUUAACAUUUUUAUACACAGGGGUAGGGGUGUGCAGCGGAGUCAGCAUUUGUAUCUGUAACAGUCUCAAAAUUAUUUGUAUCUGUAUUUGUAUUCGGAUUAAACCGGAAGUGGGUGGGUUGACAACUCAUAUUACAUUAAAAUGGCAUUUUAAAUGCAUUUUUGCUUUUUAUUAUAAUUAUAACUUAAAUAACUGUAAAUAUUUAUUCAAAAUAAUAAUACAAAAUUUUAAUCAAAAAGACAAAUAACUUGAUUCUCGUUAGUAAUACUCAUGGAAAGCAAACAACUCAUUUUUAAAGCCUCAUACAGCUUGUGCUAUGCAUCAUUGAAUUGUAGCAUUAAAAUAACAAACUUGAAAGCACGUUGACAAAACUGUAGGGUAGAUCACCUUUAAAUGUUUAUUGUGCCUGUCAGCACAGUUCCAUGAGACCUAUUCUUUCUAAAUGAGUGCGAUGUUUUCAGAAAAAAAAUAAGUAGCCUACAUUAAUCCCUAGUCUAGCGAUUUAAAUAAAGUAAUUAAACAUCUAAAAUGAUCGUUAUUUGUAAGUUUUCUAAAAGAGUGAAAUAUAACCUAAUACUACUCAUAUAUCCAUGUCUGACAUCUUGGUUUCAGUU